GUUUUCUUGUUGAAAUCAGUGCAUGUUCUAUAAUCUGACAUCUUUGCUUGGUAAGAAAUUUUUGAUUUUUUAACCUGAAAUAAGGCAGUCUGUUGUAUUAAACUUUUUGAUAUCAGUGGUUGUGUUAAAAUCUUUUCCAUUAUCUGGUUACAUUGUUUGGUUGGAAGUCCAUUUUAUUCAAUCUAUCAUUGCACAGCAUAUUAAUGGGUUAUCCUCAAUGUCCCUUCCAUUAACUGGAAUUAUGCAAUCUGCUGUGUUAAAAUCUUUGAUAUCUGUGGUUGUGUUAAAAUCUUUGAUAUCUGUGGUUGUGUUAAAAUCUUUGAUAUCUGUGGUAGUGUUUAAAUCUUUGAUAUCCGUGGUUGUGUUAAAAUCUUUGAUAUCUGUGGUUGUGUUACAAUCAGUGCAGGUACCAUAAUCUUUCAUUGUUACUUGGUAAGAAAUGUAUUGAAUUAUUUCUGGAAUAAGGCAGUCUGAUGUGUGAAACUUUUUGAUAUCAGUAGUUUUAUUAAAAUCAGUGCAAUAUUCAAUAAUCUAACAUUUUUCAAUUCGUAAGAAAUGUAUUAAAUUGCUUGGAAUAGAGCAUUCUGGCAUGGUAACUAUUUUGUUGUUUGUGGUCGUAUUAAAAUGAGUUCCAUACCCUGAUAAUGUUGUUUGGUGGGAAGUCCAUUUGAUUCAGUCUACCAUGGUACAGCAUAUUAAUGGGUUAUAACCAAUGUUCCUUUCAUUAACUGGAAUUAUGCAGUCUGAUGUGUUAAACUCUUUGAUAUUUGUGAUUGUGUUAAAAUGAGUGUUGGUAUUAUAAUCUGACAUUGUUGCUUGGUAAAAAUGUAUUGAAUUAUUUCUGUAAUCAGGCAGUCUGGCAUGUUGAAUAUUUUGUUGUUUGUGGUUGUACUAAAAUGAAUUCCAUACCCUGACAGUGUUGUUUGAUUGGAAGUCCAUUUGAAUAAAUCUGUCAUUUCAAGGGGUUAUCCUCAAUGUUCCUUUCAUUAACUAGAAUAAUACAGUCUGCUGUGUUAAACUCUUUGAUAUCUGUUGUUGUGUUAAAAUUAGUGCAGGUACUAUAAUCUGACAUCGUUGCUUGGUACGAAAUUUAUUGAAUUGUUUAUUUGGAAGAUUGCAGUUUGAUGUGUUAAUUUUUGUUUGUUUUUGGCUGUAUAAAAAAUCAGUUUUCUCACAACACCAUAUUGACACUUUUGUUCUAUGCCUUCUACAUUUCCCUAAAAAAAAAAAUCCUCAAGAGAGACAUAUAUUUUUUCUAUUAUAAAAAAAUUUAAAACUAUAUUCUGAUAAAACCAUUUCAAAUAUACAUAUGAAAAAACUACCUUGAACACU
This 1332-nucleotide long non-coding RNA is filed under the name Mytilus galloprovincialis (Mediterranean mussel). The record is from RNAcentral. Lineage: Eukaryota; Metazoa; Mollusca; Bivalvia; Mytilida; Mytilidae.